CACGUAGGAGACGAGCGUUAUCCGGAUUUACUGGGCGUGAAGCGCGGGUCGGUGGGGUCUUAAGUCAGGCGUGAAAGCACCCAGCUUAACUGGGUGAGGUCGUGUGAAACUGGGAUUCUCAGAGGUAGGUAGAGGCAGAUGGAAUUCCGGGUGGAGUGGUGAAAUGCGUAGAGAUCCGGAGGAACACCAGUGGCGAAGGCGAUCUGCUAGGCCUGACCUGACACUCAGCCGCGACAGCAUGGGGAGCGAACGGG
This 254-nucleotide ribosomal RNA is filed under the name uncultured bacterium. Its description in RNAcentral is "partial 16S ribosomal RNA". It matches the Rfam family "Bacterial small subunit ribosomal RNA", at positions 524 to 776 of the family's 1533-position model. The record is from RNAcentral.